RNAcentral lists this transfer RNA (72 nucleotides) under Fukomys damarensis (Damara mole-rat). It matches the Rfam family "tRNA". From Rfam's summary of the family: Transfer RNA (tRNA) molecules are approximately 80 nucleotides in length. Their secondary structure includes four short double-helical elements and three loops (D, anti-codon, and T loops). Further hydrogen bonds mediate the characteristic L-shaped molecular structure. tRNAs have two regions of fundamental functional importance: the anti-codon, which is responsible for specific mRNA codon recognition, and the 3' end, to which the tRNAs corresponding amino acid is attached (by aminoacyl-tRNA synthetases). tRNAs cope with the degeneracy of the genetic code in two manners: having more than one tRNA (with a specific anti-codon) for a particular amino acid; and 'wobble' base-pairing, i.e. permitting non-standard base-pairing at the 3rd anti-codon position. The record is from Rfam by way of RNAcentral. Lineage: Eukaryota; Metazoa; Chordata; Mammalia; Rodentia; Bathyergidae.
GGGGAUUUAGCUCAGCAGUAUAGCACCUGCCUGGCAAGUGGGAGGUCCCAAGUUCGAUCCCUUGUACCCCCA